Molecule: ribosomal RNA, 253 nt
Filed under: uncultured bacterium
Lineage: Bacteria
Description: partial 16S ribosomal RNA
Rfam family: Bacterial small subunit ribosomal RNA
Source: RNAcentral
UACGGGGGGAGCAAGCGUUGUUCGGAUUUACUGGGCGUAAAGGGCGCGUAGGCGGCCACCGCAAGUCAGUGUGAAAUCUCUGGGCUUAACCCAGAAAGGUCAACUGAUACUGCGGGGCUAGAGUGCAGAAGGGGCAACUGGAAUUCUCGGUGUAGCGGUGAAAUGCGUAGAUAUCGAGAGGAACACCUGCGGCGAAGGCGGGUUGCUGGGCUGACACUGACGCUGAAGCGCGAAAGCUAGGGGAGCGAACGGG